Molecule: ribosomal RNA, 789 nt
Filed under: uncultured bacterium
Lineage: Bacteria
Description: bacterial SSU rRNA
Rfam family: Bacterial small subunit ribosomal RNA
Source: RNAcentral
UNUGACUUGAGUGCAGAAGGGGAGAGUGGAAUUCCAUGUGUAGCGGUGAAAUGCGUAGAUAUAUGGAGGAACACCAGUGGCGAAAGCGGCUCUCUGGUCUGUCACUGACGCUGAGGCUCGAAAGCGUGGGUAGCGAACAGGAUUAGAUACCCUGGUAGUNCACGCCGUAAACGAUGAGUGCUAGGUGUUAGGCCCUUUCCGGGGCUUAGUGCCGGAGCUAACGCAAUAAGCACUCCGCCUGGGGAGUACGACCGCAAGGUUGAAACUCAAAGGAAUUGACGGGGGCCCGCACAAGCGGUGGAGCAUGUGGUUUAAUUCGAAGCAACGCGGAGAACCUUACCAGGUCUUGACAUCCCGAUGCUAUUCUUAGAGAUAGGAAGUUACUUCGGUACAUCGGAGACAGGUGGUGCAUGGUUGUCGUCAGCUCGUGUCGUGAGAUGUUGGGUUAAGUCCCGCAACGAGCGCAACCCUUAUUGUUAGUUGCCAUCAUUAAGUUGGGCACUCUAGCGAGACUGCCGGUAAUAAACCGGAGGAAGGUGGGGAUGACGUCAAAUCAUCAUGCCCCUUAUGACCUGGGCUACACACGUGCUACAAUGGCUGGUACAACGAGUCGCAAGUCGGUGACGACAAGCUAAUCUCUUAAAGCCAGUCUCAGUUCGGAUUGUAGGCUGCAACUCGCCUACAUGAAGUCGGAAUCGCUAGUAAUCGCGGAUCAGCACGCCGCGGUGAAUACGUUCCCGGGCCUUGUACACACCGCCCGUCACACCACGAGAGUUUGUAACACCCGAA